RNAcentral lists this ribosomal RNA (305 nucleotides) under uncultured bacterium. Its description in RNAcentral is "bacterial SSU rRNA". It matches the Rfam family "Bacterial small subunit ribosomal RNA", at positions 333 to 635 of the family's 1533-position model. The record is from RNAcentral.
AGGAUCCUACGGGGCGCAGCAGUGAGGAAUAUUGGUCAAUGGGCGGGAGCCUGAACCAGCCAAGUCGCGUGAGGGAAGACGGUCCUAUGGAUUGUAAACCUCUUUAGGCGGGGAGCAAUGCCGGGCACGCGUGUCCGGAGGGAGAGUACCCGCAGAAUAAGCAUCGGCUAACUCCGUGCCAGCAGCCGCGGUAAUACGGAGGAUGCGAGCGUUAUCCGGAUUUAUUGGGAUUAAAGGGUGCGUAGGCGGAUUUUUAAGUCAGCGGUAAAAUGGCCGGGCUCAACCCGGGCCGGCCGUUGAAAAUG